RNAcentral lists this ribosomal RNA (376 nucleotides) under uncultured soil bacterium. RNAcentral's name for it is "bacterial SSU rRNA". It matches the Rfam family "Bacterial small subunit ribosomal RNA", at positions 26 to 391 of the family's 1533-position model. The record is from RNAcentral.
AGAUUGAACGCUGGCGGCAGGCCUAACACAUGCAAGUCGAGCGGCAGCACGGGUACUUGUACCUGGUGGCGAGCGGCGGACGGGUGAGUAAUGCCUAGGAAUCUGCCUGGUAGUGGGGGAUAACGCUCGGAAACGGACGCUAAUACCGCAUACGUCCUACGGGAGAAAGCAGGGGACCUUCGGGCCUUGCGCUAUCAGAUGAGCCUAGGUCGGAUUAGCUAGUUGGUGAGGUAAUGGCUCACCAAGGCGACGAUCCGUAACUGGUCUGAGAGGAUGAUCAGUCACACUAGGAACUGAGACACCGGUCCAGACUCCGUACGGGAGGCAGCAAGGUGGGGAAUAUUGGACUAAAGUGGGACGAAAGCCUAGACUCCAG